GGGUGAGUAGCACGUGAGCAACCUGCCCCGAAGACUGGGAUAACACCGGGAAACCGGUGCUAAUACCGGAUACCCCCACCGGAUCGCAUGGUCUGGUGAGGAAAUGGAUUCCGCUUCGGGAGGGGCUCGCGGCCUAUCAGCUUGUUGGUGAGGUAACGGCUCACCAAGGCGUCGACGGGUAGCUGGUCUGAGAGGACGAUCAGCCACACUGGGACUGAGACACGGCCCAGACUCCUACGGGAGGCAGCAGUAGGGAAUCUUGCGCAAUGGGCGAAGGCCUGACGCAGCAACGCCGCGUGGGGGACGAAUGCUUUCUGAGUUGUAAACCCCUUUCAGCAGGGACGAUAGUGACGGUACCUGCAGAAGAAGCACCGGCCAACUACGUGCCAGCAGCCGCGGUGAUACGUAGGGUGCAAGCGUUGUCCGGAUUUAUUGGGCGUAAAGAGCUCGUAGGCGGUUCGAUAAGUCGGGUGUGAAACCCCCAGGCUCAACCUGGGGCCGCCACUCGAUACUGUCGUGACUCGAGUCCGGUAGGGGACCAUGGAAUUCCUGGUGUAGCGGUGAAAUGCGCAGAUAUCAGGAGGAACACCAGCAGCGAAGGCGGUGGUCUGGGCCGGUACUGACGCUGAGGAGCGAAAGCGUG
Molecule: ribosomal RNA, 643 nt
Filed under: uncultured Actinomycetes bacterium
Lineage: Bacteria; Bacillati; Actinomycetota; Actinomycetes
Description: bacterial SSU rRNA
Rfam family: Bacterial small subunit ribosomal RNA
Source: RNAcentral